RNAcentral lists this long non-coding RNA (260 nucleotides) under Elaeis guineensis (African oil palm). Its description in RNAcentral is "long non-coding RNA (EGUI_LNC011052)". The record is from RNAcentral. Lineage: Eukaryota; Viridiplantae; Streptophyta; Magnoliopsida; Arecales; Arecaceae.
CACUAUAUCUGAACUGAUCAAUAUGUUGGUCACUACGGAGGAAAUCUUGAAGAGUUUAAGGAGUACUGUUCUCACUGUGGAGCGGACUUCUUCCAAGAGAAAGUCUAUCGAGAAGAAGAAGAUUAAAUCCAUUAAGAAGUAGAAAAAGAGAAUAGGCCAAAGAAGGAAGUUCCUAAGAAGGCUGAAGUAAAGAAAAAUAUUUUCACUGUCAUGCUAAGGCCACUGAAGGAGAAACUGUCCAAAAUCCCUGAAGAGCCUAA